Molecule: long non-coding RNA, 558 nt
Filed under: Ananas comosus (pineapple)
Lineage: Eukaryota; Viridiplantae; Streptophyta; Magnoliopsida; Poales; Bromeliaceae
Description: long non-coding RNA (ACOM_LNC024497)
Source: RNAcentral
UUUCUUCUCUCUUCACUCAAUCCACUGAAAUUCUAGACGAAAAGCCUUUCCUGUCGUCCUCCUCCGCCACCGCAGCCAACGAGAUAGAAUUUCGGCGGUUGCUAAAUGCUUAAAUAAGUGUUGGUAAAUUAGCAGCACUCUUUUAGAUUAUAGCGACACUCUUUAACUGUCACUAUAUACUUAGCGACCCCACAUAUAGCAACACUUUUUAAAAAUAUCGGUAAUUUUAGCUAACAGCACUUUUUGACAUGUACCUAUAUUUAAAAGUGUCACUAUAAACCGUUUUUGUUGUAGUGUUAAAUUUAAAAUAUAAAUUAAGAAUAUACUUUAACUUUAAUUUUUAUACUUAAAUUUGAUUUCCUUUACAAAUGUGAGAGCACAACGACAUGCACUACAAACAAUCAGUCGCACAUCUUUGAUUGUAUGUUACUUUGUUGGACACAUUACAUCGUUGGUUGGUCACUAAACUUUUAAUAAAAUUUAAUUUAGAUCAUUGAACUUAAAUUUUGUUGUUGUAUUAUUAGUCAUUGAACUUUUAGUAAAAUUCUAUUUAGGUCA